CCCUGGGGUAAGCAUGUAGGGCGGAACGUAGGUAAAUCCGCGUUCUAUUCAGCCUGAGAUGUGAUGCCGAGCCGAUUGUGGUGAAGUGGAUGAUCCUAUGCUGCCGAGAAAAGCCUCUAGUGAGUGUUGUGGCGGCCCGUACCCUAAACCGACUCAGGUGGUCAGGUAGAGAAUACCAAGGCGAUCGGGUGAACUGUGGUUAAGGAACUCGGCAAAUUGCAUCCGUAACUUCGGGAGAAGGGGGACCUCUGCUGGUGAUGGGCUUUACGUUCUGAGCUGGUGGGGGUCGCAGUGGCCAGGGGGAAGCGACUGUUUACUAAAAACACAGGUCCGUGCGAAGUCGUAAGACGAUGUAUACGGACUGACGCCUGCCCGGUGCCGGAACGUUAAGGGGACCGCUUAGCCAACGCGAGUUGGCGAAGGUGAGAACUUAAGCGCCGGUAAACGGCGGUGGUAACUAUAACCAUCCUAAGGUAGCGAAAUUCCUUGUCGGGUAAGUUCCGACCUGCACGAAUGGCGUAACGACUUCCCCGCUGUCUCAACCACAGACCCGGCGAAAUUGCACUACGAGUAAAGAUGCUCGUUUCGCGCAGCAGGACGGAAAGACCCCGGGACCUUCACUACAGCUUGACAUUGGCGUUUGGAACGUCUUGUGUAGGAUAGGUGGGAGACUGGGAAGCUGUCACGCUAGUGAUGGUGGAGUCAUUGGUGAAAUACCACUCUGGUCGUUUUGAACGUCUAACUCUGGUCCGUGAUCCGGAUCGGGGACAGUGUCUGGUGGGUAGUUUAACUGGGGCGGUUGCCUCCUAAAGAGUAACGGAGGCGCCCAAAGGUUCCCUCAGCCUGGUUGGCAAUCAGGUGUUGAGUGUAAGUGCACAAGGGAGCUUGACUGUGAGACUGACAGGUCGAGCAGGAGCGAAAGCUGGGACUAGAGAUCCGGCAUCGGCGUGUGGAAGCGGUGUCGCUCAACGGCUAAAAGGUACCCCGGGGAUAACAGGCUGAUCUUCCCCAAGAGUCCAUAUCGACGGGAUGGUUUGGCACCUCGAUGUCGGCUCGUCGCAUCCUGGGGCUGGAGUAAGUCCCAAGGGUUGGGCUGUUCGCCCAUUAAAGCGGUACGCGAGCUGGGUUUAGAACGUCGCGAGACAGUUCGGUCCCUAUCCGCUGCGCGCGCAGGAGACUUGAAGGGGGCUGUCCCUAUACGAGAGGACCGGGACGGACGAACCUCUGGUGUGCCAGUUGUACCGCCAGGUGCACGGCUGGUUGGCUACGUUCGGAAGGGAUAACCGCUGAAAGCAUCUAAGCGGGAAGCUCGCCUUGAGAUGAGGUCUCCCACCCCGUGAGGGGGUAAGGCUCCCGGUAGAUCACCGGGUUGAUAGGCCGGAGGUGGAAGCACGGUAACGUGUGGAGCUGACCGGUACUAAUAGGCCGAGGACUUGACCAC
Molecule: ribosomal RNA, 1441 nt
Filed under: metagenome
Description: bacterial LSU rRNA
Rfam family: Bacterial large subunit ribosomal RNA
Source: RNAcentral